RNAcentral lists this long non-coding RNA (225 nucleotides) under Capsicum annuum. Its description in RNAcentral is "long non-coding RNA (CANN_LNC020976)". The record is from RNAcentral. Lineage: Eukaryota; Viridiplantae; Streptophyta; Magnoliopsida; Solanales; Solanaceae.
UGUAAUUGUCUUAAGACAACCCCUAUAUUUCUCUAAUAAUUUCCUAUAGGAUCCAUACUAUUAAAAGAACAAACAUUAUUAGAAUCAUCAUAAUCAAAGCUCGUGAAGAGGUUAUAACUCUUGAAACAAUCUUUCCAUUGACUAUCUGAUGUGUCGGAAUUCGAUAAUUGCAGAUUUUUAAACAACAUUUGUUAGACUUAGUGUUCGUUUAUGUUGAAAUGCGGG